AAAACCUGGGCAGUGCGGAGAAAGUGCCUGCACAUGAGGAGGUUGCUGCUGCAGCUGCAGCUGCUGCAGCUGCAGCUUCUGCAGCUGAUGGUGCCGAUGCCGCCUCCGCUCCGGCAGCCAUUGUGGACA
Molecule: non-coding RNA, 129 nt
Filed under: Crypthecodinium cohnii
Lineage: Eukaryota; Dinophyceae; Gonyaulacales; Crypthecodiniaceae
Source: RNAcentral